UACUACCGAAGCUACGGCAUCAGUAAUGAUGGGUAGGGGAGCUUCCCAUACGGGUUGAAGCAUGACCGUAAGGACAUGUGGACAGUAUGGGAGUGAGAAUGUUGGCAUGAGUAGCGAGAUGUGGGUGGGAAUCCCACAGGCCGUAAACCCAAGGUUUCCAGGGGAAGGUUCGUCCACCCUGGGUUAGUCGGGACCUAAGCUGAGGCCGAAAGGCGUAGGUGAUGGACAACAGGUUGAUAUUCCUGUACUACCGAUAACCGUUUGAGAGAAGGGAUGACACAGUAGGAUAAGCUAAGCACACUGUUGGUUAUGUGUGCCCAAGCAUUGAGGCAGUCAAAGUAGGCAAAUCCGCUUUGAUAAUGCUGGGAUGUGAUGGGGAGCGAAAUUUAGUAGCGAAGUAGC
RNAcentral lists this ribosomal RNA (402 nucleotides) under Clostridioides difficile. RNAcentral's name for it is "bacterial LSU rRNA". It matches the Rfam family "Bacterial large subunit ribosomal RNA", at positions 1189 to 1594 of the family's 2925-position model. Lineage: Bacteria; Bacillati; Bacillota; Clostridia; Peptostreptococcales; Peptostreptococcaceae. The record is from RNAcentral.